Mytilus trossulus (common blue mussel) is the source of this 4493-nucleotide long non-coding RNA. RefSeq lists it as uncharacterized. Lineage: Eukaryota; Metazoa; Mollusca; Bivalvia; Mytilida; Mytilidae. The record is from RefSeq and is a predicted model, not a curated record. The transcript has 3 exons.
AAAUAGCUAAUAAAAUCAUUUAAAAAAAGUAAAAUAGAUAUGUCUUAAAAUUUAAAUGAUACGUUUUUGUACUGCAAGUGCAAAAAUCAAUAAAUUGGCUGAAACCAGGGAGUACAUCUUUUAUGCUCUUCCAUUGACUUAUCUCCCUUGGGCAACAUGUCAGCUCCCAGUGAUGGACUUGGCAGACAAAGUUUACAGUGAAGUUUGCAACUUUAAUAAUCUAGGAGGAGUAUUUGGGCUAUCCCAGCAUUAUGCAUCUACAUAUUACAAACUAUUUAAGAUAUCUGAAUGCACUAAAGACCAAAUUAUCAUUUCCCAAAAGAAUAAUUAGUUAUUACUGCCAAUGCAAGAAUCUGCCAAUCAUGACAAUAAAUUACCAGACAAUAAUCAUAACUUAGUGAAUAAACAUGAUGAAAACUAUGGUGUAGAAUUUCCAACAGGAUUCCUUGUUUUAUAUAAGACGAGGAGUGGUUUAUUUUCCUAUGGUUGUUAUAUCAUCUCGUCUUAGACAUGUUAGAAUAUGGUUGAAGUACAGGGACUUUUAUGGAAUUCAUUGACAUCAUAGUCAAGCAAGAUGUCAACAUCCCGUCCAACCAUCUUCCAGUAAAGCCAAUUUGAAAGCUGACUUAGGAUCUUCAUCAUUUCCUGACAGGGUGUAUACAGGACGAGUCAUUCCACUAGGAUCAGGACUAUUAUCAUGAUAAUAGAUGCAGGCAAUGCUGAUGAUUUUUGUGAAAGUGACAAUAGCCAGGUCAAACUAAAUACAUGUAAAGAACAAGAUACUGAUCUAGACUCACAGCUAACUGAACUUUUACAGCAGUCAACAUCAGAUUGGAAGACUGAUAAUGCUUCUGACAGAAACAAUUUCAACCAACCAAACAAGUAACCGAAACUUUGCAUCUUUAAAACACUACUUACCUCUUCCAUGGGAUGAUGUUCCAAAAAAUAACAGUUCAUCAUUAAUGAAGAUUUUUAUGUUAUGGAUUUUCUUUUACAAGAAAGUUAAUGUACACUUGUUUUUAUAGUAAAACCUUGCUGUUCAAGUAUCAAAAAAACAAUACUUUAUUGAAAUUUGAAGAUUCAUAUGACUUUUUUAGCUCACCUGUCCCGAAGGGACAAGUGAGCUUAUGCCAUCACUUGGCGUCCGUCGUCGUCUGUCGUCGUAAACUAUUUCAAGAAUCUUCUCCUCUGAAACUACUGGGCCAAAUACUUUCAAACUUUAACUGAAUGUUCCUUAGGGUAUCUUAUUUAUAAAUUGUAUAUGAAGUUUUGAUCUAUCAACAAACAUGGUCGCCAUUGCUAAAAAUAGAACAUAGGGGUCAAAUGCAGUUUUUGGCUUAUAACUCAAAAACCAAAGCAUUUAGAGCAAAUCUGACAUGGGGUAACUUUGUUUAUCAGGUGAAGAUCUAUCUGCCCUGAAAUUUUCAGAUGAAUCAGACAACCCGUUGUUGGGUUGCUGCCCCUGAAUUGGUAAUUUUAACGAAAUUUUGCUGUUUUUGGUUAUUAUCUUCAAUAUUAUUAUAGAUAGAGAUAAACUGUAAACAGGAAUAAUGUUCAGCAAAGUCAGAUUUACAAAUAAGUCAACAUGACGGAAAUGGUCAGUUGACCCCUUUAGGAGUUAUUGCCCUUUAUAGUCAAUUUUUAACCAUUUUUCGUAAAUCUUAGUUAUCUUUUACAAAAAUCUUCUCCUCUGAAACUACUGGGCCAAAUACUUCCAAGCUUUGACUGAAUGUUCCUUAGGGUAUCUAGUUUGUAAAUUGUAUCCGAAGUUGUGAUCUAUCAACAAACAUGGUCGCCAUUGCUAAAAAUAGAACAUAGGGGUCAAAUGCAGUUUUUGGCUUAUAACUCAAAAACCAAAGCAUUUAGAGCAAAUCUGACAAGGGUAUUAUUGUUUAUCAGGUCAAGAUCUAUCUGCCCUGAAAUUUUCAGAUGAAUCAGACAACCCGUUGUUGGGUUGCUGCCCCUGAAUUGGUAAUUUUAACGAAAUUUUGCUGUUUUUGGUUAUUAUCUUGAAUAUUAUUAUAGAUAGAGAUAAACUGUAAACAGGAAUAAUGUUCAGCAAAGUAAGAUUUACAAAUAAGUCAACUGGACGGAAAUGGUCAGUUGACCCCUUUAGGAGUUAUUGCCCUUUAUAGUCAAUUUUUAACCAUUUUUCGUAAAUCUUAGUAAUCUUUUACAAAAAUCUUCUCCUCUGAAGCUACUGGGCCAAAUAAUUCCAAACUUUAACUGAAUGUUCCUUAUGGUAUCUAGUUAGUAAAUUGUAUCUAAAGUUUUGAUCUAUCAACAAACAUGGUCGCCAUUGCUAAAAAUAGAACAUAGGGGUCAAAUGCAGUUUUUGGCUUAUAACUCAAAAACCAAAGCAUUUAGAGCAAAUCUGACGUGGGAAAUAUUGUUUAUCAGGUCAAGAUCUAUCUGCCCUAAAAUUUUCAGAUGAAUCAGACAACCUGUUGUUGGGUUGCUGCCCCUGAAUUGAUAAUUUUAAGGAAAUUUUGCUGUUUUUGUUUAUUAUCAUGAAUAUAAUUAUAGAUAGAAAUAAACUGUAAACAGCAAAAAUGUUAAGCAAAGUAAGAUCUACAAAUAAGUCAAUAUGACCAAAAUUGUCAAUUGACCCCUUAAGGAGUUAUUGCCCUUUAAAGACUUUUUUUCACAAUUUGUUCAUCAUGUUGACUUACUUUAAAAAAUCUUCUCCUUUGAAACUGCUGUAUCAAUUUCAGCCAAACUUAAGGCAAAAUGAGUUUCAGAGUAUCUAGUAUAAAUUUUAUAUUUUAUGUCCUUGUAUGUCAAGAAACAUAGCUCCUAUGGCUAAAAUAGAACAUAGGAGAAACUGAUUUUUUUUUUUGCUUUUGAAGAAAAUAGGACGAUCCAAAAAACAUUUUAAUAAAUUGAAAAGUCAAAAUAAUCAUUGAUGAGAGAUUUAACCAAAAGAAUUAAGGUGAGCGAUUCAGGCUCUUGAGAGCCUCUUGUUUUAUUUUGUUAUUUCUCAGGAUGUCAUGUAGAGGUACAGUCAUGACAGUAAUCUAAACAGCUAUUCAAUUUCAUUCAAAAUUCUUUGAAAAUUUGGCACUAGUAAAUAUAAACUGAAGUAAUUUGUUUUUCGUUUAGUUAUGGGAUUUUUAUGGCCAGUAACAAAGUAGCCGGUGCCUAAGUUUCUUCCUUGUACUAAAAUUCCUAUUUUCCGUAAUUCCAUAAUUCAGUAAUUCCGAAAUAAACUUUACAGUGUUUUUUUCUAAACGCCAUAGAUACUGGCCUGAUUUUUGGUAUGUAAGUUAACUAUGAUGAGUUACAGAUCAAUUAUAAGUUUUGUUCCACUCCCCUAAUUUCUGUUGAAAUUACCCUCUAUAAAUUGUUGAAAAUCACAGUUAUAUGCACUUUUUUCCUAAACGCUUUCAGAUAUUGGGCUCAUUUUUGGUAUGUGAGUUACAGAUCAAGUUUAAGUUUCGUCAAUACCCUAAUAUUUGCUGUAAUUUCAGGCUUUGGACUUUGAAAAAUUUUGGAAAAUCAAAGUUAUAUGGACCUUUCUUCUAUUAAAAUGCUUUCAGAUAUUGGGCUGAUUUUUGGUAUGUGAGCUAACCAUGAUGAGUUACAUAUCAAGUUUAAGUUUCGUUCCGCUGUGUAAUUUUUUCCAGAAUUAAGGGUUUUAAACUUUGAAAAUUGUUCAAAAAUCAUAUUUAUAUGGACAUUUUUCUAUAUGCCUCCAGAUUUAGAGCUGACUUUUUAUAUGUGAGACAACCAUCAUGUUUGUAUCCACAUGUGUUAUUGAAAUUGCAGAUUUUGAAAUUUUUGGGACGUAGCCUUUCGUUUUGCUUUGACACAUCUAGUUUAAGAUACAUUUAUGAUUAUCAUUUUUGUAUUGACUACAUUACAGUAGAUGCAUUUAUGAUUUUCAUGUUUUUAUUGACCACAUUGCAGCAACAUAGAUAUAUAGGUACCUGGCAAAUAUUACCUUGUUAGCAUACUAGGCUCAAAGGGCCAUAAAAAAGUCCAUCUCUUAGUGUCUGUUAAAAUCAUCUCUAUAUUGCAACUGUUUACAGUUUUCUCUUUUUAAACCAUUAUUUUAAAAACUUUAGAAGAAGUAUCAUACAUAUAUGUAUAUAUAUAUAUAUUUAUUGUAAAAACUAUCAAAAUGUCAAGAUCUUUUACUACCCAAAAUUUUUCUGAAAAAUUGGGACGUAACAUCUAUGAGCUAUUGUCCCUGAAGUGUGAAAAUUUACAAAUUUUCAGAGUUUUCUGCUAAAAUCUGACAGCUAUAUAUCAAUAUGAUAUAAGAAAAUAUUGCAAAAGUGUUCAGAAAAACUUAUUUUUACAGUCUGAACUUAUUCUGAAUUAUUUUAAAUUCAUUGCUUUUGAAUUAUGUGUUUUUUAUCGUUUUGAGGUGCACAAUUUGUCAAUUCAAGCUAUUUCGGCUCCUGGGAGCCUCUAGAUUUGUGAUGAAUCAAUUGUAUUUGUAUAUGAUUUUUUUCUUAAUGUAUUAAAUGAAACAUUAAUUAUUCUUU